RNAcentral lists this ribosomal RNA (506 nucleotides) under uncultured bacterium. RNAcentral's name for it is "partial 16S ribosomal RNA". It matches the Rfam family "Bacterial small subunit ribosomal RNA", at positions 29 to 523 of the family's 1533-position model. The record is from RNAcentral.
AGUGAACGCUGGCGGUAGGCCUAACACAUGCAAGUCGAACGGCAGCACAGAGGAGCUUGCUCCUUGGGUGGCGAGUGGCGGACGGGUGAGGAAUACAUCGGAAUCUACUCUGUCGUGGGGGAUAACGUAGGGAAACUUACGCUAAUACCGCAUACGACCUACGGGUGAAAGCAGGGGAUCUUCGGACCUUGCGCGAUUGAAUGAGCCGAUGUCGGAUUAGCUAGUUGGCGGGGUAAAGGCCCACCAAGGCGACGAUCCGUAGCUGGUCUGAGAGGACGAUCAGCCACACUGGGACUGAGACACGGCCCAGACUCCUACGGGAGGCAGCAGUGGGGAAUAUUGGACAAUGGGGGAAACCCUGAUCCAGCGACGCCGCGUGGGUGAAGAAGGCCUGCGGGUUGUAAAGCCCUUUCGGUAGGGACGAAAGCUCUUGCCCUAACACGGCAGGAGGUUGACUUAACCUACAAAAGAAGCACCGGCUAACUCUGUGCCAGCAGCCGCGGUAA